This 1284-nucleotide ribosomal RNA is filed under the name Tropostreptus austerus. RNAcentral's name for it is "16S ribosomal RNA". The stretch from base 798 to 1153 matches the Rfam family "Archaeal large subunit ribosomal RNA", at positions 2150 to 2716 of the family's 2987-position model. Lineage: Eukaryota; Metazoa; Arthropoda; Diplopoda; Spirostreptida; Spirostreptidae. The record is from RNAcentral.
UAAGUUAGUUAUAGUUUAUUUAUGUGUAAAGCAAUAUAUUAGUUAGUAUUAUUUAGAAAACUUUGUUAUAUUAUGUACUGUGAAGGACCCAUGUUAUUUUUGUAAAAGAAAUAAUUAGUAUUUGCACCUUGUGUAUUAGGGGUACUUAAAAUAAUAAAUAAGCUAUUUUUCCCGAUAUAUUUGUGGGCUAAAAAUUUAUUAUAUUAGUGUGGCAUAAUUAAUAUUAAUUUAUUUCUAGGGAUGAUAUAUUAUUCAAACAAUAAGGUUUCUGGUUCUUUAAGAAUUUAAUUAAAUUAAAGUUAAGUUUUAUUUAAAUUUAAUUGAUACCUAUAAAGGGAUAAACUUUUAUGGGUAAUUUAUAUAGCCCCACAUUAUUUAAAUUAUUUAGAUUUAAAAUUGAUCUAAUUUUUACAAUGUUAUAAUGAGGUUUUAGUUUAAAUUAUUUUAAUCGGGUGUUAUGUUUUGUAUUAAAGUAUUUUGAUAAUUGAUGUAUAAUAACAAUAAUGAGUAUAUUAGUAGUAUUUUGAUUAAUUAAGCUGGCUAUACAGGUAAAUUAGCCUAAGGAAUUCAGCAAAUUUAUUUUCUCGCCUGUUUAGCAAAAACAUGGUUUUUUGGUUUUAAGUAAAAAAUCAGGCCUGCCCACUGAUAAAUUAAAGGGCUGCAGUAUUUUGACUGUACAAAGGUAGCAUAAUCAUUAGUCUUUUAAUUGGGGACUGGUAUGAAAGGUUCGACGGGAAGCAGCUGUCUCAGGCUUAAAGCUAUAAAUUUUAUUUUUAGGGGAAAGGGCCUAAAUUAGACAAAGGGACGAGAAGACCCUAUUAAAUUUUAUUUUUAAUAAAUAAAAUUUUAUUUAAAUAAAAGUUUUAUUUACUAAAUAAUUUUGCUGGGGCGGCAAGUAAUUAACAUUAUUAAUUUGUAAUUUAUUAGAAAACGUUAUUGUGAUCCAUUUUGGGUGACAUGAAGACUAAGUUACUAUAGGGAUAACAGCGUAAUAUUUUUUGAGAGUUCAUAUUGACAAAAGUGUUUGCGACCUCGAUGUUGGAUUAAGAAGUCUUACUGAUGCAGUAGUUGGUAUAGAAGGUCUGUUCGACCUUUAAAUUCUUACAUGAUCUGAGUUCAGACCGGCGUAAGCCAGGUCGGUUUCUAUCUUUUGUUAUAAGUUUUUAAAUUAGUACGAAAGGACCAUUUAAUGUAAAAUUUUUAUUUAAGGCGAUUUAAGUAAAAUUGUGUGAAAAUAGAGAGUAGUUAUUUUGGCAGAUUAGUGCACCGAAUUUAGAAUUCGCC